This 76-nucleotide transfer RNA is filed under the name Chloroflexota bacterium. Its description in RNAcentral is "Chloroflexi bacterium tRNA-Arg". It matches the Rfam family "tRNA". From Rfam's summary of the family: Transfer RNA (tRNA) molecules are approximately 80 nucleotides in length. Their secondary structure includes four short double-helical elements and three loops (D, anti-codon, and T loops). The record is from RNAcentral. Lineage: Bacteria; Bacillati; Chloroflexota.
GCCCCUGUAGCUCAGUGGACAGAGCAGCGGACUUCUAAUCCGAAGGCCGGAGGUUCGAAUCCUCCCGGGGGCGCCA